UACGUAGGGGGCAAGCGUUGUCCGGAUUUACUGGGCGUAAAGAGCGUGUAGGCGGCCAAGCAGGUCCGUUGUGAAAACUGGAGGCUUAACCUCCAGACGUCGACGGAAACCGCGUGGCUAGAGUCCGGAAGAGGAGAGUGGAAUUCCUGGUGUAGCGGUGAAAUGCGCAGAUAUCAGGAAGAACACCUAUGGCGAAGGCAGCUCUCUGGGACGGUACUGACGCUGAGACGCGAAAGCGUGGGGAGCGAACAGG
Molecule: ribosomal RNA, 253 nt
Filed under: uncultured bacterium
Lineage: Bacteria
Description: partial 16S ribosomal RNA
Rfam family: Bacterial small subunit ribosomal RNA
Source: RNAcentral